This is a long non-coding RNA of Etheostoma cragini (Arkansas darter), 261 nucleotides long. RefSeq lists it as uncharacterized. The record is from RefSeq and is a predicted model, not a curated record. The transcript has 3 exons. NCBI's taxonomy places the organism in Eukaryota, Metazoa, Chordata, Actinopteri, Perciformes, Percidae.
GACUUGUCAGACCAGAGCACACUUUUCCACUUUGCGUCAGUCCAUCUCAGGUGAGUUGGGCCCAGAGAAGCUGGCAGCGUUUCUGGGUGUUGUUGAUAUAUGGCUUUUGCUUUGGAUGGUGCAAUUUUAACUUGCACUUGUAGAUGUAAGGACAAACUGUGUUAACUGACAAUGGUUUUCCAAAGUGUACCUGAGCCCACAUGGUUAUAUCCUUUACAUAAUGAUGUCGGUUUUUAAUGCACUGAGUGAUCUGAAGGUCAC